AAGAGACAGCAGCCGCCGCGGUAAUACGUAGGUGGCAAGCGUUGUCCGGAAUUAUUGGGCGUAAAGGGCUCGCAGGCGGUUCCUUAAGUCUGAUGUGAAAGCCCCCGGCUCAACCGGGGAGGGUCAUUGGAAACUGGGGAACUUGAGUGCAGAAGAGGAGAGUGGAAUUCCAUGUGUAGCGGUGAAAUGCGUAGAUAUAUGGAGGAACACCAGUGGCGAAGGCGACUCUCUGGUCUGUAACUGACGCUGAGGCUCGAAAGCGUGGGUAGCAAACAGGAUUAGAUACCCCUGUAGUCCCUGUCUCUUAUAC
Molecule: ribosomal RNA, 310 nt
Filed under: uncultured bacterium
Lineage: Bacteria
Description: partial 16S ribosomal RNA
Rfam family: Bacterial small subunit ribosomal RNA
Source: RNAcentral